Long non-coding RNA from Helianthus annuus (common sunflower), 1686 nucleotides. RefSeq lists it as uncharacterized. The record is from RefSeq and is a predicted model, not a curated record. The transcript has 3 exons. NCBI's taxonomy places the organism in Eukaryota, Viridiplantae, Streptophyta, Magnoliopsida, Asterales, Asteraceae.
CAAUGCAUCUCUAAUUAGGUUUCACAGAAAACCCCCCGCCUUCUCCUACCUUCAGCCGCUGACAUCAAGAAAAUCCUCCCACCUACCUUAUUCGAUCUUAUUUUUAUCAACUAUCAACGAUCCUCCCACCGUAUUCGAUCUUCAUGUCGCCCUUAUUUGUCUUCUAUCUUGAAGAUUCAGAUUGACAAAGAAACUUGAAGAUUCGGAUUGUAUUUUUUCGUGAUGAUGAUGAAUCGGAGAUUCCGAUUAAACCCUUAUUUUUUCGUGAUGAUGAUGAAUCGAAGAUUCGGAUUGUACAGGAACUUGAUGGUAGAAACAUCUGAGUUAGUGUUGUUGAAGCCCCCAUAGAGGCGUCUGUUUUAAAGUAGAAGAAUUUGAGUAUGGUGACUGCUAUUGCAGUGAUGACAAGAACACAUUUUGGAGAGUUUCCAGUUUUGAUUUCAUAUACACGUAUGUAGUCUGACAGUGGUAUCGUGGCAUCAUCGUUUCAAAAUAGAUGAAAGAGAUAAAGAGAGAGAGAAAGAGACAAAGAACUAGAAAGGGAGAGAGAGAGAGAGAGAGAGAGAGGGGGGGAAGUAGAGAAGGUAGUGUGAUCAACCGAUCUUAGCCCGAGUGUCACCGUCGGCGACAACAUGGUUUGGGGUCGUUAUGCAGAGCUCCAACGAGGUGUUUGAGGGUCUACAGAUCUAAAACUUUUCUAAGGCAACCAAUCCAUCACUCACGACGUGGAAGAAUGACCUGUGGAUGCAUGUCCAUCGUCAAAGAAGAAGAGCAAACUGUUUGUGUGGCGAGGAAGAACCAUCGACAACUGUAUUUCUUCACCAUAUACCCUGGGCCACUGGAUCUGAAACUUAACCACCCGAUUGUGAGUUUAUAUAGACAUGUGUUAUCUCACCAGGUUUGGUUGUUCAAAAACCUCAAUCGUCUCGCUCUCGUUGGGUUUGGUUCUUGAUUUUAAUAUACUUUUCAUUUUUUAUGACAAAACUUUUCAUUUGAAUCUGAAAUAUAUUUUUCAUUUUUUAUAACAAGACUUUUCAUUUGAAUCUGAGUUUUUUUGUACAAUAUUUGAAAUGAAUUGCCCUCACAUAACUUAAACUUGGUUAUUCUUUUCAAUCAUGACCGAUAUGGUUUGUUCUAUUUUUAGGUCUAUGAAUUAAUGCAGAAGUAGGUAGAGACUAAACGCACGGAGUUAGUAGUGAAGAUGGUGAUUUUAAAGCAAUACACUAAACCCUAUAGUCUUUGUAUCUCAAUACUUUGCGCUAUGUUUAUGCGUUUUUAACACAAAUUUUUGCAACUUUUAUCAUGGGUUUAUGUAAUUAAUUGAAUCUUGAGUUGAGUUUUUUGUUAAUUUUGCUAAUGGGCACUGGGCGGGGGCUUGGAUAUGGGUUGGGAUUGUAGCUGGGUUGCAGAAUAUGAAAGCCGGAUCACCCAUGCGGGCUCAAGUUGCGGCUGAAUGGGUUCUAUAUAAAGAACUCAACUGAUCACUUUUGGAAUUUAGUUUAGAUAUUUGUUUUUCAACUCAUUUGUUUCUCUUUCUAGGGUUUCAUAUUAAGACUCGAGAUUUAGUGCUUGUUUGAUCUAUUCAUGUUAUAGAUAUCUGUCACCUGCUAGAUCUGAUUUACCAAGUUUUGAGAAAGAGUGGUGUUAUCUAAACGACAAGCUUAAGGAAGACAUGUUAUAUUUAUA